Molecule: ribosomal RNA, 505 nt
Filed under: uncultured bacterium
Lineage: Bacteria
Description: partial 16S ribosomal RNA
Rfam family: Bacterial small subunit ribosomal RNA
Source: RNAcentral
GACGAACGCUGGCGGCGUGCCUAAUACAUGCAAGUAGAACGCACAGUUUAUACCGUAGCUUGCUACACCAUAAACUGUGAGUUGCGAACGGGUGAGUAACGCGUAGGUAACCUGCCUGGUAGCGGGGGAUAACUAUUGGAAACGAUAGCUAAUACCGCAUAAUAUUAAUUAUUGCAUGAUAAUUGAUUGAAAGAUGCAAUUGCAUCACUACCAGAUGGACCUGCGUUGUAUUAGCUAGUAGGUGAGGUAACGGCUCACCUAGGCGACGAUACAUAGCCGACCUGAGAGGGUGAUCGGCCACACUGGGACUGAGACACGGCCCAGACUCCUACGGGAGGCAGCAGUAGGGAAUCUUCGGCAAUGGACGAAAGUCUGACCGAGCAACGCCGCGUGAGUGAAGAAGGUUUUCGGAUCGUAAAGCUCUGUUAUAAGAGAAGAACGGGUGUGAGAGUGGAAAGUUCACACUGUGACGGUAUCUUACCAGAAAGGGACGGCUAACUACGUG